AGUUUUAUAGUCAAAAAUGAUAUUAGACUGCAAUUCUAAAGGAAUAAUGAAUAAUUAUUAAAGCUU
Molecule: transfer RNA, 66 nt
Filed under: Rheocricotopus villiculus
Lineage: Eukaryota; Metazoa; Arthropoda; Insecta; Diptera; Chironomidae
Description: tRNA-Cys
Source: RNAcentral